This 159-nucleotide unclassified non-coding RNA is filed under the name soil metagenome. RNAcentral describes it as "partial internal transcribed spacer 1". The record is from RNAcentral.
CAAGUGACCCCGGUCUAACCACCGGGAUGUUCAUAACCCUUGUUUCUGUCCGACUCUGUUGCCUCCGGGGCGACCCUGCCUUCGGGCGGGGGCUCCGGGUGGACACUUCAAACUCUUGCGUAACUUUGCAGUCUGAGUAAACUUAAUUAAUAAAUUUAA